AUCGUAGGCCUCCAUACGGCCAGAGCCAGCCGAAUCCUGGCAUUCCUCCGAGAAACACCUUGGACUCCACUUUGAAGAAAUAUGCUGCCUUAGAUGAAUUUGAUAAGAAAAUGUCACCGCUUUAUAAAACACAACGGGACUUCAUGAACCUACCUGAUGAUCUGCCUUACGAAAACCAUCCACCAGCAGUUAUGUUU
Long non-coding RNA from Leptidea sinapis, 197 nucleotides. RefSeq lists it as uncharacterized. NCBI's taxonomy places the organism in Eukaryota, Metazoa, Arthropoda, Insecta, Lepidoptera, Pieridae. The transcript has 4 exons. The record is from RefSeq and is a predicted model, not a curated record.